GACGAACGCUGGCGGCGUGCUUAACACAUGCAAGUCGAACGGAAAGGCCCUGCUUUUGUGGGGUGCUCGAGUGGCGAACGGGUGAGUAGCACUUGAGUAACCUGCCCUUGACUUUGGGAUAACUUCAGGAAACUGGGGCUAAUACCGGAUAGGAGCUCCUGCCGCAUGGUGGGGGUUGGAAAGUUUCGGCGGUUGGGGAUGGACUCGCGGCUUAUCAGCUUGUUGGUGGGGUAGUGGCUUACCAAGGCUUUGACGGGUAGCCGGCCUGAGAGGGUGACCGGCCAAAUGGGGACUGAGAUACGGCCCAGACUCCUACGGGAGGCAGCAGUGGGGAAUAUUGCACAAUGGGCGGAAGCCUGAUGCAGCAACGCCGCGUGCGGGAUGACGGCCUUCGGGUUGUAAACCGCUUUCGCCGGUGACGAAGCGUGAGUGACGGUAAUGGGUAAAGAAGCACCGGCUAACUACGUG
This 468-nucleotide ribosomal RNA is filed under the name uncultured bacterium. Its description in RNAcentral is "partial 16S ribosomal RNA". It matches the Rfam family "Bacterial small subunit ribosomal RNA", at positions 28 to 507 of the family's 1533-position model. The record is from RNAcentral.